UACGGGGGGAGCAAGCGUUGUUCGGAUUUACUGGGCGUAAAGGGCGCGUAGGCGGCCACCGCAAGUCGGCUUGUGAAAGCCCGGGGCUCAACCCCGGAGGUGCGGCCGGGACUGCUUGGCUGGAGGCCGGAAGAGGAGGGUGGAAUACCCAGUGUAGAGGUGAAAUUCGUAGAUAUUGGGUGGAACACCGGUGGCGAAAGCGGCUCUCUGGUCCGGUUCUGACGCUGAGGCGCGAAAGCGUGGGGAGCAAACAGG
Molecule: ribosomal RNA, 255 nt
Filed under: uncultured bacterium
Lineage: Bacteria
Description: partial 16S ribosomal RNA
Rfam family: Bacterial small subunit ribosomal RNA
Source: RNAcentral